AUGUCCCAGAGGGAGGCUCCAGGGGCAGGGAGGCCCUGGAGGAAGAGAAGCCCUGGAGGGAGGGAGGGAGGGAGGGAGGGAGGCCCAGAAGGAGGGAGGCCCCAGAGGGAGGGACACCCUGGGGUCAAUGCCAGAGGUAUGGAGGAGGGAGGCCCCAAGGUCAAUGUCCCGGAGGGAGGCUCCAGGGGGAGGGAGGCCCUGGAGGGAGGGAAGUCCCAGAGGGAGGGAGGCCCUGGGGUCAAUGUCCCAGAGGGAGGAGGCCCAGAGGGAGGGAGGCCUGGAGAGAGGAGGCUCCAGGGGGAGGGAGGCUCCAGAGAUGCAGAGGCCCUGGGGCCAAUGUCCCAGAGGGAGGGAAGCCCGGAGGAAGGGACACCGGAGCGCCCGCAUCCACACCCAGCGCCACCCGGGCUACGCAGCCUGGAGGGCUGGCAAGCGGGGCGCCCGGGCAGAGGGUCCCACUGUCUGCAGGCGCUGCCUCUGAGCCCCGGGGUCAUGGAUGGUGCCCGCGGCGUUGUCAACAUCAAGCGUCUGCUGAGGGUAGACCCUCCCCGCCGGCAGGUGGCUGUUCCGGGAAGGCAGGGUCCCAGGGUCCUCCGGGUCCCCGGCUGGGUCCUGCCCCCAAGGUGGUGGCCUUCAGAGGUGCACAUCCAUUGGCAGCCCCUGGCCGCGCCCCAGGGCUCCCAGCCUGCCUUCUGCUCAUCUUCCCACGGAUGCCGCACCCCGACCCCAAAUGCGACGACGGCCACAACCAGACUGGGGACAGCUGUCCACACGGCUGCCUCCGGGGCGCCCCGCCCAACCCUGUUCACCCGUGGCUUCCCUCUGCCUCCCGCCCGUCCCGCGGGUCCACCUGCAGGUCCAGGCCGUCCUCCCUCCAGGCGCCCCCCAGAUCCGCCCCCUCCAGGCACCUCCCCCAAGCCCAAGGCCCGGCUGCAGCACCCCACGGGGGGCCCCGGCUUCGGCCCUGCCCCGCCCCCAUGCCCACCUGCCGUCCCUCAGCAGGGAGCACGUCACCGUGACCUCACGGCCUCGAGUGUGACGGAGCUGUGGGGACAGACUCAGCAGGACACGCGGGCCCCUGCCAGCUCCUUGCACACGCUGGGCCUUCCGGCGGCUCCUUGGGCACCUGCCAGGGGCUGUGCCUCCCCCACGCGUCCCACCUACCAGGACGCGCCAAGCAGGGGGUGCCAGGGACGUCCUCCUCCUUCCUGCCAGCAUCUUCCCGGGGCAGUGAGGCCCACCCUGCCGAGCCGGUCUCUCCCUGUCGCCCUGUCGCUCACUCUGAAUCCCGCCCCGUCCCCCGCCUGUGCCCGGCCUCGGGGGCCAGCGCACUGGCAUCUGCCUACUGGGUGCUUCUCCUCCUCUGAUGGCCGCUGCACCUGGACGUCUGGGGCCGUGGGACACACACGAGACACCCCUGAGCUCCAACCACCGGGGAGCGAGUCCCCGAGGGCCGGCUCCAGGCACGGCCAAUGCCCACGGGGCCACCAGCAGCCCGGCCCCCACCCCGCACACGCCCCACCGCCCACCGCGGGGACGUCAGUCGAAGGCCGACUUGGAGGCACGUCUUUACAGGCCAAGGUCCUGAGGUCGUGUGCGCGGCGUGACCCCGCGAGCCAGCAUCAGCCGAACCCUGGCGACCGUGGGAGUGUCACCGCCAGCCCCCGCGGCCUCCUCGGGCCCCAUCCUCUCGCCCUCGCUCCGCUUGGCUGGGGAAGGAUUUUGCCGACCGUCCUUUGGCCACCGUCCACGCAGGGCGUCUGGCAAGUCCGGGCUGCGGCAUCUCAGAGGCCUGGAGCUGACGCUAGAGAGCGGUUCCCUGUCGUGGCUCUCACUGCUGUUUCCUUCUGUCACUCAAAACAAGUGAAAAAAAAGAAAAUCCCUCCAUACGCACCACAAGGUCACGUGCAGCCACAGAAACGCGCCACCCAGCUUAAAACCAAGUCUCAACACCUGAGCUGGGGGCCUCGUAUAAAUAAAUCACCUCCACCAAGCCUGCCCUUCUGCCUUUUUUAUUUUAUUUUUUUUUUACUUUUUCAGUUAACCUGUGUGAUGUGUGGCUGGCACGUGGGCUGCCGCCCGUGCACACAGCCUCAGCACGGCCCUGCUGACGGAGGCCUAGUUGGCUCAGGUGGAGAUGCGGGGCCCAGCGAAGGGCCUGGGCUCGGGCAGCAGGGGCCCUGCCAACCCAGCGAAGCCUGA
This is a long non-coding RNA of Vulpes vulpes (red fox), 2202 nucleotides long. The record is from Ensembl. NCBI's taxonomy places the organism in Eukaryota, Metazoa, Chordata, Mammalia, Carnivora, Canidae.